UUCUUCCUUUUUCCGUUGGUUCACCUUCCAAUGGCCGCUGCGGCCAGCACUGUGCCGAUUGGAAGCCAGGAGCCAGGUGCUUCUCCUGGUCUCCCUGCGGGUGCAGGGCCCAAGGACCUGGGCCAUCCUCCACUGCACUCCCGGGCCACAGCAGAGAGCUGGACUAGAAGAGGAGCAACUGGGACAGAAUCCGGCUCCCCGACUGCGACUAGAACCCGGUGUGCCGGCGCCGCAUAGUUCAGGUGGCCUUUUUUUUCAAGGAUUGAACACUGAACCAUGACAUUGCUUUCUGUGAACAGGAGGUCCAUCAAGUUCAAGGCCAUUUUAUAAGUGAUGACACCAGCACCAAGUCCUUCCCUAGGGAACCGAGGGUCCUGUACUAUAACCACGCAGAUAACAGCUUGAUGUUGGGUCUCGUCUGUAGGAGUUGCUUUUCCGGGAACUCCAGGCUCUGAACAAAAAGUAAUGAGCACUUGCAGAGAGCUAACUGGAGCCCACUUUGACAUCAGCAAAAGAACACCGAAUGGCGAGCCAGUCGGAGGCGGGCCAUGAGCACGGUAGACCAACCCGGGACCUGGAACAUCCCAGCAUCCGUCUGUGAGAUCCCACUCCUAACCCCUCGGGGAAUACUUACUCUCCUCCACCUCUCCAGUGUCGGCGAUUGGCUUGCUGUGCAUCAGGGGAGCAGACCUAGGCUGGAGGUGUCUAUAGCAAAUCCUCCAGCUGGUCUCGGGGGUGUUCUAGGGCAUUCUGAAUGGAGGGUGAUUUUACCUUCCAAGGAGCAUUUGGAAAAGUCUGGAGACAUAUUUGGUUGUCACAACUGGGGACCGUGCUACCGGCCUCUUGUAGGCAGUGGGUGCCGCUGACCCGCCUACAUCUCACAGGGGGCUCCCCGGCAGCAAAAAUCACCCCGCCCAAAAUGUCAGUAGUGCUAAAGUUAAAAAAAAAAUCCUGCCCUAAAUUAACGCCAUACUUUCCUUCCCCUAGUCCCACUCUCCACCCUCCCGCCUCGCCUCCAUCUUCAAUGUAACCAUAGCGUUGAACAAAUUGAAUGCCUCCCAUGCCAUUGUACAAUUUCAAAUUAAACUUAUGAUAAUGCUUUGGUCUUUUCACCAUAAUUAAGAUGCAGCCGACACUCCCCCGUCUACUGCACACCAGGCAACUUGUGUGCUGGUGUCCUUUCUUAUCUUGCUUCGUUCAUUCUCAUCAGAUGGUGACAGAACCCUUACCAUGUGCCAGGUCCACGACUAUGGGGAAAGAGCUGCUGGCCCCAUUCGUGCCGACAAGGGAGCUGAGGCUCAGAGAGGUUAAGUGAUGUGGCCCAAGUCACACAGCUCACAUAACCGGGUGCCAGUCAGACUUGGAGGCCAGGGCUCUUUGUGGUGUGUCAGGGUACUGCUGCCUGUGCUAAGUGAAGACACCAUCACCCUUCGCUGUGCUGGGACUGGUGGGCACCUCAUGGAGGCUGGCACUGCGCAUCAGCCACUGUGGGGACAACAGGGGCAGAGUUGAGGAGGCGGCACCACCAUGGCAGGGAGAGGACUAGAACCCCAAUGUUCCAAGUCCCCACCCAGGUGCUCUGCAGGCCUCCCAGAGAGAGUGAAUGGGUUUUGAUGGGGAUAAUAGUCUCUCCAAAUACACUCACUGCUAGUCUUUCCUAUUGAGCAAUUCAGCUUUCAACUGCUCGGGACAUUAGACCAAAGGAUGGGUGUUUUGUCUUCUUUUUUCCCCUGCCUUUUUCUUUUUGAGGGAAAGCAAUUUGCUCCUUUCUGAUUUAGAAUGAGAUCUGGCAAGUAAGGGCUUGUUCUCCCACUCCCUCCCCACCCUGUAGUUAAAGAAAAAAAAAAACCAUCUCGGGGAGAGCGCGAGGGAGAAAUAAGCACACCGGAUCCAUGCUAAGCAAAACCAUUUGCAUAAGCCGUACACUGGGUUCUCAGAGCCUGGGCUCAUCUAACCUAUGACAAAUUCCUCCGUCUCGGCUACCUGCCAGCUACGUUUUCAUCGGGGCUGGCAAGGCAACUGAAGUCUACAUUCUGUACUAAUUAACAACCUUCAGGGGAGAAGACCACCAAUUGCAAUGCCAGCACACUUCGCUUGUUAAAGGGGA
This is a non-coding RNA of Oryctolagus cuniculus (rabbit), 2107 nucleotides long. Lineage: Eukaryota; Metazoa; Chordata; Mammalia; Lagomorpha; Leporidae. The record is from RefSeq and is a predicted model, not a curated record.